AAAGAGAGAGGAGUAGAGAGAGAGAAAGAGAGAGAGGAGUAGAGAGAGAGAAAGAGAGAGAGGAGUAGAGAGAGAGAAAGAGAGAGAGGAGUAGAGAGAGAGAGAGAGAGAGGAAGAGAGAGAGAGAGAGGAGUAGAGAGAGGAGUAGAGAGAGGAAGAGAGAGAGAGAGAGGAGGAGAGAGAGAGAGAGAGAGAGGAGAGAGAGAGAGAGAGAGAGGAGUAGAGAGAGAGAGAGAGAGGAGUAGAGAGAGGGAGAGAGGAGAGAGAGAGGAGUAGAGAGAGGAAGAGGGGUAGAGAGAGGAGUAGAGAGAGAGAGAGAGCGAGGAGUAGAGAGAGAGAAAGAGAGGAGUAGAGAGAGGGAGGAGUAGAGAGAGGAGUAGAGAGAGGAGUAGAGAGAGAGAGAGAGGAGUAGAGAGAGGAGUAGAGAGAGAAAGAGAGAGAGAGGAGUAGAGAGAGAGAGAGGAGUAGAGAGAGGAGUAGAGAGAGGAGUAGAGAGAGAGAGAGAGAGAGGAG
Molecule: long non-coding RNA, 513 nt
Organism: Oncorhynchus tshawytscha (Chinook salmon)
Lineage: Eukaryota; Metazoa; Chordata; Actinopteri; Salmoniformes; Salmonidae
Source: Ensembl